AUUGAACGCUGGCGGCAUGCCUUACACAUGCAAGUCGAACGGUAACAGGUCUUCGGAUGCUGACGAGUGGCGAACGGGUGAGUAAUACAUCGGAACGUGCCCGAUCGUGGGGGGUCACGCAGCGAAAGCUGUGCUAAUACCUCAUACGAUCUAAGGAUGAAAGCGGGGGAUCGCAAGACCUCGCGCCGGCGGAGCGGCCGAUGGCAGAUUAGGUAGUUGGUGGGAUAAUAGCUUACCAAGCCGACGAUCUGUAGCUGGUCUGAGAGGACGACCAGCCACACUGGGACUGAGACACGGCCCAGACUCCUACGGGAGGCAGCAGUGGGGAAUUUUGGACAAUGGGCGCAAGCCUGAUCCAGCCAUGCCGCGUGCAGGAUGAAGGCCUUCGGGUUGUAAACUGCUUUUGUACGGAACGAAAAAGCUCUCUCUAAUACAGGGGGUGAAUGACGGUACCGUAAGAAUAAGCACCGGCUAACUACGUG
This 482-nucleotide ribosomal RNA is filed under the name uncultured bacterium. RNAcentral describes it as "partial 16S ribosomal RNA". It matches the Rfam family "Bacterial small subunit ribosomal RNA", at positions 30 to 507 of the family's 1533-position model. The record is from RNAcentral.